RNAcentral lists this ribosomal RNA (333 nucleotides) under Triticum aestivum (bread wheat). RNAcentral's name for it is "partial small subunit ribosomal RNA". The record is from RNAcentral. Lineage: Eukaryota; Viridiplantae; Streptophyta; Magnoliopsida; Poales; Poaceae.
AUGAGGGUCGUCGGGGCUGCAAAGCCGGCGAGGAUGUCUUCCAUGGAGCGGGAGCCCAAGACGCUCUCCCUCGGCGAGCUCAAUUACGCCAGGGAAGCAGCGCUGUACGUGCUGACCACGCGCUCCUCGCAGGACGCAGCCCGAAUCUUCACCGAGGGUCUGAAGCCGGUGCUCGGCGUCAGGAGGAACUCCACGGACUCUGACUCGGACGAUGACGAGGAAGGGGACGUGUUUGAUCCGGACCUGCUCGUCGACGAUGUCGACGUGCGCCGUAAUCGCCGGAUGCGUGGGCGCAUCGCCAAGAAACGAGACUUUGCUACAGCACCCUUCUAA